UCUAGUUUAGUCUUAGUUCAUUAUUAUUUAAUCUUUUAACCAAAUAGGUUAGUCUGUAGACUACAUCCUCUGUGUUCAAUAAGAUUAGAAAAUCAAAUAUGUAGAUAUAAAGUAGUAUAUAUGAAAGAUUAUGUAUAUUGGUAUAAAAUGUUCUCCAUGGAAGGGUUUGUCAAGUUGAGAUUAAAGCCUUCUUGAUAAGAUUAUGUAUUGGGAUUCAGGUCAUCAGAUGGUAGGAUAGAGUGAGGAAUGAUACCUUUGAAUAUAGAAUUUAGGCCAAAGGUCAUGCACUGGGAUCUAAGAGGUCAUCCAGUGCUGAAAGAGAAAUUGACAGUAUAAGGUUUGAAAGGUAUAACAGGAGGAAAACCUCAGCUACAUCAUGAAUCAAUUGUUAGGAGAGUGUGAAAAGUAAGAAGGAAGAAAGAGAAUAUGAAUGGAGUUACAACUAAGGAACAAAAGGGGUUGCAGGUACGGUCCAAAGGCACCCUGCAAAGAACUUGAGUAAUGCCAACAGUGCACCACAUGAGGUGCACUGAUGGCACUACCCCCUACGGGGAUGAUACCAUUAAGGAAAUUGCGGAAAUUCCAAAUGUAGAUGAAAUGAUAAUGACAGAGACGUUUAGGACAUAUCCUAUGCACCCUUGGGAGAGAAUAGUGGAUAAAAGUGUCAACUGGCUUCUUUGGGCACCAAAAGAGUUGGAAUACAUGUAGUUAUUGUGAUGAGAAUUAUUAGAUUAGAAGCUGGAUAUAAUUGGAGGCAGUGCUGAUGGCCCAACCUAAAGUAGCAUAGGCUAAGCAAGGCAUGUAAUGGCAUGAGGCUCACUACCAUGAUGCACCUAGGCUUGUGUAUGCAUUGUUUUUAUCAAGGGAUGGAUGGCUUGGUUGCCAUUUUACUGCAUGAGUGGAUGAUGCCAAAACCAAACGUGAAUUAGCUUAGCCUAUUAUAAUAAGCUGGACCUACCCUAUGUUCUUUUGGGUAUGUGCUAAUUAUGUCUUGAUAGAUCCUAAGAGAAUACAAACCUGUAUGGGUAUUCCAUUCUCUAUGACCUGUACAUGAGAAUUGGGAGUUCAAGCACAGCAGAUCUCUGUUACAUGAUUGUUUUAGGUAAUGUGGGGGUCAUCAUGCACCUGAUUGUGCACCCACCCAAAGCAUGCCCAGUUCAUCUGGCUCUUCCUCUGGUGUGCAUGUGUACAGUAAUGCUCAUCGCUUCCCACUUAGAGCUUUCUAGUAGUUCACUCUUGGCUUAUCAUAAGGAAUCACCCAGCUGUGUUGAUUACUGUUAGCAUUAUUCUUGGUGUAUACCAGUCAGCACCUGUAGAUCAGAUUUUCUUGUCCACAAUUCCCAGACUGAUUGCCUGGGAAAUUUGGUGUUGACUAUGACUCUUCAAGAAUAGGAGCCUUCUCGUUCUGAGAGGGGUCUAUUGGGGCCUGUUGGUUCUCUUAUAGAACCCAUGAAUGCCGAGUUGGUGAGACACUUACGCAAGCUGAUUUCGAUCAUUCGUUAGUGCAAGAUCUCAGGAAAGUGACCAUAGAACCUGUGCCAAAUGUAAUCUAGCAAACUAGGGUUUGCCCCUUUUAAGUGAGACCAUCAUUUCAACUGCUGUGAUCUCUGCAACAUGUGUUACAUGAGGUCUAAGCUACAGAUCAGAAGGUUCCCUUGCUUCUGACAUACUAGCCAAAGUUGAAUGUGCCAGGGAACUCUGAGGAGGAGGAAGAGAAGAGACUGCUUGCUUUUGUUUGCAUUAUCCCAUUCAUGAUUCUUACCUUAGUUACAUGGUGAAAGGAGGUAGCAGUGUCAGAGUAGUAAGACCUGAGCAGGAUACAUUGCGGGGAUCCUCAUAAUCAAAACAAACACUGCAGGAGGUUAAGCAGCAUUGAGCUCCUUAGCAGGAUAAGUAGCGGUGUUGGGUUGAUAUGAAUACUAAGGACAACAGCAUCCCCUGCAAGUGCUCCAGCAAAGUUGCAUGUGAAUUAGGAACAGGAAGAGGCAAACAACAAGCACAUACACCUAAGUCUCACCUUGACUUGAACAUUUGGUUCAGCACUGUCAGAGUGUGUUGGAGACAUACUGUCACAUACAUACCCCCCCCCCCCCCUCUUCAAAUUGAGCCAUAGGAGAACAAGUAGAAGUGGCAGGGGGAGAGGGAGAGAGUCUAGGAGGAAGGAGCUGAAAAGAUUUGUUGGUGUCAAGAAGUGUAGCCCUGAAGACACUGGUGAAUGUGUUUGGCCUUCCAGUGUUUCUUGCCAAACUUUCAUUGCAGAAAAUUACACUUGCAGGAAAAUGCUAACACACAGAAGACGUAAAGAUACCCACUUACAUCCUUCAAAGUUCCUUUGUGCACUUUUUAAAAUUCACUGUGAACAUAAAUACACAAACACCAUACGAUAAAAAAAAUGAAAGAAGCCUCCACUUUGGUCGGUCAGAGCACAGUGAAUUGGCUUAACUCAACCAGAACUGAAGAAAAGGUCCUGGCUUACAGCAGUUAAGUGGGGGAAUGCCACCCACUCUAAGUGCCUACCAUCAAUUAACUAUCUGGGUACCAAGCAACAACUGUUUCCACAGAGGGAAACUCCUUUAUACAAGGUUUGGUUUUUCUACCUAUGGAGAUUUUAUAUUUUGUAGAUUAAAAAAAUUCAUAGGGACAUUUUUAGUAUACUGGUGUACAUGUCUGACAUUGUCCGUAUGUUGGAUUUUUUAUAUAUAUAUAUAAAUUCACUAACAGUAAUAAAAUUGCAAAUAUAAUUCUUAGAUAACAAUACAGUAUUCAAUGAAUAACAAUUUUUGCAGAUUGGGGAGCAGGAGAGGAAGAUCCAGAAAUAACAAAUGUGUGGGAGGAUAAUUGGGAUGAUGACAACAUUGAGGAUGACUUUUCGCAGCAACUGAGGGCAGAGCUGAAUGUCCAGACUGAACAGUAGCUGCUAGAUGUCCUUCUAAAAAUUAUGCCAUUUAGAUCCAAAGAUUUUUUACGUUUAAGUCAAUGUCAAGGAUUCUGUACAGUUUUGAUUAUUUUUCUACGUUUUUCCUAGUUUAACUGCUGGAUUUUUUUUUUCAAAUAAAACUACCUUUUA
Long non-coding RNA from Macrobrachium nipponense, 3067 nucleotides. RefSeq lists it as uncharacterized. Lineage: Eukaryota; Metazoa; Arthropoda; Malacostraca; Decapoda; Palaemonidae. The record is from RefSeq and is a predicted model, not a curated record. The transcript is spliced from 2 exons.